This 75-nucleotide antisense RNA is filed under the name Streptomyces albus subsp. albus DSM 41398. RNAcentral describes it as "ASpks TB sRNA". It matches the Rfam family "ASpks TB sRNA". Lineage: Bacteria; Bacillati; Actinomycetota; Actinomycetes; Kitasatosporales; Streptomycetaceae. The record is from Rfam by way of RNAcentral.
CUUCAGCGAGCCGAGCCACAGCGGGGACCGCCCCGCGCGCUCCUUGCCGUAGGUGGCGAGCAGGGCCCCCGCCUC